This 254-nucleotide ribosomal RNA is filed under the name uncultured bacterium. RNAcentral's name for it is "partial 16S ribosomal RNA". It matches the Rfam family "Bacterial small subunit ribosomal RNA", at positions 524 to 776 of the family's 1533-position model. The record is from RNAcentral.
UACGAAGGGGGCUAGCGUUGCUCGGAAUCACUGGGCGUAAAGGGCGCGUAGGCGGCGUUUUAAGUCGGGGGUGAAAGCCUGUGGCUCAACCACAGAAUGGCCUUCGAUACUGGGACGCUUGAGUAUGGUAGAGGUUGGUGGAAACUGCGAGUGUAGAGGUGAAAUUCGUAGAUAUUCGCAAGAACACCGGUGGCGAAGGCGGCCAACUGGACCAUUACUGACGCUGAGGCGCGAAAGCGUGGGGAGCAAACAGG